CGGGAUGUAGCGUAGCUUGGUAUCGCGUCUGCUUUGGGAGCAGAAGGCCGCAGGUUCAAAUCCUGUCAUCCCGACCA
RNAcentral lists this transfer RNA (77 nucleotides) under Bacillota bacterium. Its description in RNAcentral is "tRNA-Pro". It matches the Rfam family "tRNA". From Rfam's summary of the family: Transfer RNA (tRNA) molecules are approximately 80 nucleotides in length. Their secondary structure includes four short double-helical elements and three loops (D, anti-codon, and T loops). RNAcentral also lists the same sequence under 3 other names. Lineage: Bacteria; Bacillati; Bacillota. The record is from RNAcentral.